This 34232-nucleotide long non-coding RNA is filed under the name Capsicum annuum. RNAcentral's name for it is "long non-coding RNA (CANN_LNC007389)". The record is from RNAcentral. Lineage: Eukaryota; Viridiplantae; Streptophyta; Magnoliopsida; Solanales; Solanaceae.
AUUGGUUCUGGAAGUUUUGGCUCAGUUUACAAAGGCAUUCUCAGAAGUGGAACUGCCAUUGCAGUUAAAGUGUUCAACCUGCAACUGGAUGCGGCAUUCAAGACUUUUGAUACGGAAUGUGAAGUUUUCUGUAGCCUUCUCCAUAGGAAUCUCGUAAAAGUCAUUACUAGUUGUUCCAAUCUUGAUUUCAAGGCUUUAGUGCUCGAGUAUAUGCCUAAUGGAAGUCUUGAGAAGUAUUUGUAUUCGUACAACUACUUCCUUGACACCAAGAAGAGACUUAGCAUAAUGAUAGAUGUGGCAUGUGCUUUGGAAUAUCUUCACCGUGGGUGCUCGUUGCUUGUGAUUCACUGUGACGUGAAGCCUAGUAACGUCUUGCUGUAUGAAGACAUGGCUGCACACCUAAGCGACUUUGACAUUGCAAAACUUCUUGGUGAAGAUGAGGGUUAUUUAAACACUAAAACCUUACAACAUUAGUUUAUAUUGCGCCAGGUAUGUGAUACAAGAAUUACAAGGACAACACAAAACACACUUCAAAAUCAGUCCACAAGAUCAAAGAUCCGAGAACCCUUUUGAAGACCACACUCGGAUUCAACAAACAACAACAAGAAUACAAUGUAUUGUUGUGUUUAUCACCUAAAAACAUCUAACAACAAACUAUGUUAACAACAACAAGAUGAAGAACAACAACAAUGGAACAAGAACAACAAGUCACGGAUUUGAAUUACAAGAACACAAACAAACGAUUACAACAUAAACAAAAUGGAUAGAUAGUUAGACAUUGGUUGGUAUAAUCUUAAGAAUCCAAGAAUAUGGUAAUCUUGGACCCUUAACACUACACACAACGGUUAGCCUAACUCCUACGUUGACACAAGAGGAACUUUACCUCCUCUAAACACCCUCUCAAGCCAACAUUGCAACACAAGUGAUAUCCGCACUUGUUUCCCUCAUUUCGGUGUGGUGGCUAUUCCAAGCCCUACAACUAAAGGUUUUUCAUGUUUCAAGUCUUACAUCAAUGAACAACUAAUGAGAAAAAGACCUAAAAUUUUCUAUUUAUAUUCUAUUACAAGACAAGACAAAAUGACAACAAUGCCCUUAAAGGGUGGGGUGGCCAUGGGACCCAAUGAAGUGACCAAAAUACCCUUAAUGAAGAUGACCAAAUCAUGACCCAUUAAGUGUUUUCCAAAACCGUGAGUCCUCAAGUCUUCGAUGCUCCAAGCAAUCUUCCACACACGGCCUUGCUUGUGCUCAAAACGGGUCUUCCUUGCAUAUCCUUGUGCCCUCGGGGUGACCAAGUCUUGAGCCUUUAAAUGAUGACCUCCAAUCGUGUCUUCAAAAAUUAAGGUGGCCAUUUGACUUGUAUCAUUAUGUCUCUUAGUUUUGCUGGUUACUCCUUUCUUUUUUUCCCACCUAGAAAGUAUAUUGCAUCUUUAAAUGAAUUGUUUGACUGUAGAGUAUGGACUGGAUGGACUAGUGUCUACAAAGUGUGAUGUCUACAGUUAUGCGGUCUUGUUUCUGGAAACGUUUACUAGGAGAAAGCCUAAUGAGUUUGAGGGAGAUCUUAGCUUGAAGCAAUGGGUGAGUUAUUCACUUCCUGGAGCAGUAAUGGACGUCGUAGAUUCCAACUUGGUAACCCAAACGGGUAGUCGCUUACAGAUGGAGCUAGAUGUUGUGGGAUCAAUAAUGAAAGUGGCUAUAGAUUGUUGUGCUGAAUCUCCGGCAAGAAGGACUAACAUGAAAGAUGUUGUAGGGAUGCUACAGAAGAUCAAUAUUCAACUUCUUGCAUGCUAAGCAUAUUCUCGGAAUCUCUCCAUCCAGACUACUUGUUUGUUGCAAAAGUUUUCUAAAUUGUUGGAUUUAUGUGAAGAUUGUUAUUAUUUUUAUUUUUUGUUUUAGUACUUGGUUUCUGGAUGAUUCCUUUUUCAGAAAUGUUAGCUGGCUGCUGUGAAUCUUAGAUUCUGUUUUCAGAAAUGCUAGCUGGUUAGUAUGAAUCUUACUGUUUCCUCUUUAAAUUGAAUAACUAAAACCAAAUUGAUCCUCUUGAAAAUCUUGAAGCGGAAUGAAUUUGUUUUAAAUGUCUUACAUUGGAAACACUAUCAGGACAUAUAACAUCAUGACAACAAGCAUAACGGGCAAUGAAAAAAAUGCUAUAUAUCAUAAAGCUAAACGAUAAAAAAGGCAGCUCAGUGCACGAAGAUCUUGCAUUCACACGGGAUAUGGAGAAGGAUCGCCCCCAGGUAUUGUAACACAGCCAACCUACCCGACACAAAUAGCAAUGACUGAUUCCACGACUCAAACUCGUGACCUAUAGGUCAUGCUUCCCUAGAAGCUUACAUGACGAUAAGUGAAGAAAAAAGAAAAUUUGCAUUAUCUUUUUACAUUCUUUUUUCAAUACAGUACUGAUAUGAAACUCUAAUGAAGCAGAAAAUCAGGCAACAUUCUUCAAGAUUUUCCAAAUCAACCAAUUAAGACUAGAAAAAAAUUUAAUUAGACCCCUCAAUGUUAAGUUCUAAUUUCUUGAGUUAUUAUUACAAAACUUCAUGUAUUUUGCACUGUAUCUGAGUCCUUUUCGCGGCCAUACCAAGCCUGUAAAUUUAACAAUGGACAGAGUUAAAUUAGCUCCAGGUAUGCCUCCUGUUCUGUUCGAGUAGUGUCUCACAGUCCCUUUUUGGUACAGUUGAUGGUGUGAGAGACAAGUCUAAAAAUGCAUUCUUUGCUCUUCGGGGCCCUUUGCCAUAUUAUCAGACUAACUCUAAAAAUGGCUCAUCGUUGAGGUGAUUCAGGUGCAGAAGUCUAGAAUCUUAUUAGUAUAGUCCUUUCUGAUUGAUUCAUAAAAGAUUACAAAAUUGUACAAGGAUUUGAGAGCAGUCCGUUAGUGCUUCAAGGUGUAUUGAUUCUAGUAUAAACUUUGAUCCUGAUGAAAUCGUGUUUUUUAGCCUGAGGUAUUAAGUGUAUUCAUACCCUUUCAAAAUUCUUGUUGCUGGGAAUGCUGUGUAGCAGAAUGUUGGAACUGUAUUUUCACCCGAGUAGUAGUAUAUGUUAAAGUGUCAUGACCUAUUGGUAGUGAGAUUGGGCCAAGAAGUUGGUGAUAUGAAGUCACAAGGUUAGAAGUCAGAGUGAGGGUGACUUUGUGUAAUAUUUGUAGAUUGUAAGGUAUUCGAUAAAGGAAGUGUUUGGCCGUGAUUAUUAUCUAUUCAAAUAGGGAAGGAUCUCAGAAUGGAUAGUUGUUGUGGGUAUAGAAAUCAGUUAUAGGUUGUAAAUGGAGAAGGAACAGAUUAGUUAAUAAGUUGUAGGAAAAGACUCAUUAUUGUUUAUUGAAUUUUGAAGGUCAUUUUGAUGUAUGAAUGGGUAAGUAAAUAUGAUAUGAGAAAUUAGAACAUGUUGAUAAGAUUGUAAUGGGUUAUAAUAUAAGAUUAAGGUUGACCAUGUUUAUUAUGUGACCUUACCUUCUUGACCUUCUUUUCUUUAGUGGUUGUAAACUAGUACUUCAUGUGAGAAGGUAUGUAGUAUAUUUUGAGCUGUAAUAGUGAUGUCGUGGAGGGGUUGUGAUUGUAGGUAGUAGUUAAAUGAAAUGAAGUAUUUUGAGUUGAUUUUCCAAUUUGACGGACUAGUAUAAUAUGUUGCAUGCUUCAUCGGUGGUACAUGGUUGUUGCUAGACUAUAGGCUUGAACUUUAAAUGUAGAACGUGGUGGUAAGAAUAGUAGCUUAAGAUUAAUGAUGCAUGUUUUGUGGAGAAAUUAGCAGGCUUGAUGUGAUGUGCGAAAUGGCCUAGGUUGAUGAUAUAUGAAAAGUUUAAGUGGUAAUCGUGAGGUAUAUGUGUACAUGAGGACUAGUCAUAAAACGAGGAAUUGUGGCUGAAUCAUUAUGUGGAUAAGAACAUGAGUCUAUGGGAAUAAGUUGAACCCCUGAUAGCACGUUGCUAAAUAGAGUUUUAUGUGUAUAAAUGUUUUGUGUACCUAGAUUUAAUUCUUGAAUCUUGUAGUAUGGAGAAGUUUGGAAAGUUUGCACAAAGGAUUGAUCUUGAUCAUCGAUUUCCACUGACAAUCCACUAACUCCGAAGCUAAUUUGAUCCAAUCUAGACUUUUGGAACAAAGACAGUGGCAUGUUACCAUUCAGAUUAUUCUUCUGAACAGAAAGAUACGAAAUCUUAGGAAGCUGAAGUAGGCACGAGGGAAGGCGUCCUGUUAGCUCGUUCCAUUCUAUAUUCAGGUACUCCAGUGAGAGGAUCUGACAAAUCGAAGUAGGAAUAUACCCUCGUAACCCAUUCUGGAACAUAAAUAAGUAUUGAAGGCUUGUCAAACUGGACAUGGAUACAGGAAGCUGGCCUGUGAUGUUGUCAUUAAGCAUCAAUAUAUGUAAUUUCUUAAGCUUUGUAAUGGAAGAAGGUAUUAACACUUGGAUCGAGCAUCCAUUAGCUAAGGGAACAGUUAAUGAAGUUGAGUUGCUUAAAGAAGGAGGAACCGUUCCACCUACCCGAGUGAAGCUUAUGUCAAGAUAUGUUAAACUUUGACCAUGGGACUGAAAACAUUGUAACAAGAUCUAUGGUCAUAGCAGGAUUGCUAGAAACAGAAAGUUUUUCGAGUUGAGGAAGAUAAGGGAUAUGACCAUCUACAUCGUUUCCACAAAAAUCAAGAGCUGAGAGGAUUGUGAGGUUCGAUAAAAUAUCAGGUAUCGAGGAUGUUAGAACGUUAGAACUCAUUUCUAGAGUAGAAAGACUAGUAAUAUUAAGUAAUUGCGCUGUCGGAAUUCUUCCUGAAAUGUUGCAGUUGGACAAUUGGAGUGACAUGAGAUUUGAAAGACUUGAUAUUGGUUUAGCCCAAUGAAAUGAUUCCGAGGACUUUGAUAGAUCAACACCUGUCAAUACUAGAUAUCUGAGACGUCGGAGUCCUUCUAACCACCUUAGAUUUGGACUAGACAAAUAACCAUAGCUUAUAAAAGAUAACAGUGAGCCAGAACCUAACUUUGGCGGUAAUGUCAAGCUAACAGUAAUAGAAGACGAAUCAGGUACUAAAUUAGCACACAAAAGAUCAAGAGACCUUAAAGAUGUAAGAUUUGAGAAUUGUGUGGUGAUGGAAUCUUGAAACAUGGAAUUCGACUAUGUCAACUUUGUUAAGUUCGAUAUCUCAGCAGGUAACUUUGAGAAAUGAAGUUGUUGAAACUCAGGUCGAGAUGUUGGAUAUGAUCAAGAGUGAAGAGCAAUGGAGAUAUAGUACCUUUAAGGAAAAAAUCGGACGCGUUGUUAGAAUCUGAAACAACUUCCUUAUUGACAUUGAUUAGGACUUCAUCUGGAUUAGGAUUCCGGAGAUUGACAACUGCAACAUGACCUGAACUCGAGCACUUGAUUCCUUUCCAUUGCAACAGUUUUCGCCCUUCCAUGAAGAUAACCGAUUAGAUGGAUCAGUCAGCAAGGAUUUGAAGCUCAAUAGAGCUGCUCUUUCUCCUUCAUAGCAACCACCAACGAGCAAAAAAGGGUAAAAUAGAGUAGCAAAUAUAAGGAAAACUUUCUUUAACCAAAUGAUUUCAAGAUGAUGAAAAAUAUCCUAGAUUGUCAAAUAUAACAUAUUUGUACCUGUUCUACUUAUACCCCUUGAACUAAAUUAUUCCAUUGGUUUUAAGAUAUAAUUUGAAAAAUGAGCUGGUUUUGACUUUGACAAAGUUAUCUGUCAUUCUAUAUUCCAUUGGUGUUGAAUACUAUUUUUGUCAUCUCCAUGCCUUCUACAAGUGUAUGGCUAUUGCUUUUUGUGAUACUAGUUUCUCGGCACGUUUGUUGCACGUGUAUGUCGAGUCAUAGUACGCGAUUUUGUAAAACAAUAUUUAUAUUAUUAAAUUAUAUUUUGAAUAAAUAUCAUUGGUAGGAGUACUUGCCGCUCCACCACAACCGUCAUUGGUAGAAGUGCAUAGCGAAAUCGGACUCAAAAGACUGCUGUCAUUGCUAGUUCUAUUCAAUUGCAGAAACUUAGUGUGUAUAUAUAUACAUGUCAUGGUUUACAGUUCACUAUUUUCAACACAAUUUUGUCUACUGCCCUCCAAUACCUAUUCCUCCAAUUGUCAUCUAUCAAGUACAACAGCAGAAAUACACCAGAUAUUCCUGCUACAAAGCCCGAGAAUAUUACUGCAAUAAAAAGGACAAUUUCUUAGUCGUAUCUGUUCUCUGUUGUUUCAGUGGUAGAGGGUCCAAUUUUACUGCAGUUCAUCCCAUCAGGAGAACCACAUAAGUAUCUGUUUCUGAUAUAUGCUGUUCCGUCUGGAUGUAGAGUGUCAAAAUGUGGAUGGGUAGGAAUCCGUUCGUUCAAAUUGUUGUAAGACAAGUUGAGAUACGCGAGAAAAUCCAACGUUGCCAAUGUCAUUGGAAUUUCACCUGAUAAUUGGUUGUAAGUGAGAUCCAAUGACUUGAGUGAAAUCAUCUCGCCAAUAGUCUUUGGGAUCAGCCCGGUCAGAUUAUUAUGUGAGAGAUGCACCCAUUAGUUAGAGAUAUGGGACGUGAAAUUAUACGCCAAGAUUCAACUAAGUAUCCUGAAAAGAGUAGAUUGUGGAAUUACAAGGACUCAUUAAAUGUUCUGAUAAAAAAAAUAGGUUCAGAUAUGAUUCCAAGGCCUGAGACUUAGGUUUUGUACAGCCAAAGAUAAGCCACCAAGAAUCUUCCAUCAUCCGGCAACAAAGGAGUACUUACAGGAAUGUGCCUACAUAAUGAGGAAAAUAAGGCUGUCACGCCAAAAUGAUCCAUCUAGGCAACCUCAGCCUCGUAAGAUCUCCUUUAUGAUUCUAAUAAAAACUCUUCCUUAAUAGAAUCACGUGGUAAACCAAUGAAGGUGGACUGCAUCAACACUGAUGCAUUUUCUGGUAUGCGCAAAUAAAGGCUGCUGCAGCUUGAUACUUAGCAGUUAAAGGAAAUUACAAGGAGCUCCCUAGGUCGUUGAGGUGGUUGUGUUAGCACCUCUUUCCUCUGAGUUGGGCUUCAACAUGGAAGUAUUAUACAGUGGGACUAAAACUCGUGUGAUUAGAUGUGUAUUGGGAGAAUUGUAAGUUGGAAAUGAUGAAGCACGUAAAUUUUUGUUUGUGGUGUAGACAAGUAGUGUCUCUAAUGUUUAAGUCUUUUCGUUGUGUAUUGUAAGAUGGAGAAUGCUUCAAUUCUUAUGUCCCGCGAGAAUCUCAUCUAAUGCCUUGUACCAAUCUUUAUCAGGCCGAGGAUUCUUAUAAAAAUUCAUAUCUUACAAUGUUUUGAUCAUGUGCUGCAAGACACAUGCCAAGAUCAUGUCGACAUCAAGCUUCAUUAGCUCAUGUUUCGUGCUUACACGUAUCCCUAGGGGUUAUCAUGAAUCUUUUUAACUGCCUUCGCAUAUUUUGUUGAGAAAAAAUGUUCAAUGCGAUGUUACGUUCUUUAUUCUACACUUUUAGAGCUUCAAAAGUCCCUACCCAUCAUUCGGGGACGAAUGACCCCAAGGGGGAGAUAAUGUAACACCCCGUACUUUCGGGCUAAAAUUUAGACCAUCGUUCCUACGCGUAUAGACCCAAAAUAAAUUAUUACUCGUUAAUAUAUGUGUGGUGAUCACUCCUAUAUGUGGGAAAACCUUUGAAUAUGAAUUGAGGUCACAAGAAUCCCCUAACUCUAUGACGAGUUGAAAACAAUUCCAUCGAUUAAGUUUUAGUAGACACUUCAACUUGGGUCAAAUUUCGUCGACCAUAACUUCUCUUAUAUAAUGAACUGGGUGUCCUGCUAUAUAUCAAAUGAAAGGUCUUUGAGUUUUCUUUCCAACGAAAUUUAUUUCGUCCAAAUCCAAUGUCGGAGUCAAAUGUUAUGCCUAUUUUACUUCAGCAUGUCAGCCUGUCAACCGAGGGACUGCUGCGAUCUUUUUUGUUUCCUUAGGGGUAUUUUCGUCCUUUCCCUCAUCUCACCUCAGCCACAACACGAAAUAAAAUCAGUAUUUGGGCAAAAUACAUCAAAAACUAAUCAAUUCCUCUCAAAAAUCCAACCCUAGUCCUUUCCCCAUAGAUCAAGAACUCAUCCCUAAGAUCAAGAAUUUCAAGAAAAGGAUCAAGAUCCGGGUUCCAUCUUUCAAACUAAAUAAUCUAAGGUACGUGGGGUUUUUCUAAACUACAUGGGGUUUUCAAAUCGAGAUGUAGGUCUCAAUUCCAUCAAAGUGAGCUUUCCCGUUUUCAAAGGUGAGAGUGAUUCCGAAGCCUACCUUGCAUGAGAGUUNNNNNNNNNNNNNNNNNNNNNNNNNNNNNNNNNNNNNNNNNNNNNNNNNNNNNNNNNNNNNNNNNNNNNNNNNNNNNNNNNNNNNNNNNNNNNNNNNNNNNNNNNNNNNNNNNNGGUAUGCUAAUACAUGGUGGGAGUAUGUUAAACGGUUUGGGAAUGAGAUGAUUGGGGGACAACCUCCUCCUUGGUUUCGAUUGAAGAACCUUAUGCGGCAAAGGUACUUGCCCGAGACUUAUAGGCAUGAGCUCCUUGCCAAAUUGUACAAUUUGAGGCAAGGGAGCAAGAGUGUCAUGGCUUUCUACGAUUAAUUUCAACAAUUGAUGUUGAAACUUGACCACUGAGGCGAGCAAGUAAGUCAUGACAUUGUGCACUUCAAGGUUGCACUUCAAGGUUGGGUUAAACAAGGACAUCUCCACUCGCAUGAUGCUUUACAAAUUCGACACCAUAGAUGGCAUCUUCCACGCGGCUUUAGAGGUUGGGAGGGAGCUCAAAGAGAACUCAUUCAUGGCUGCCCAACCUGAGGCCACCAAGGCUGUCCAAAAACAUCCUCCAAGAUAUGAAGGUAAAUUGAAUUCUACUUCCAAUCCCAAGGGGUUUCAAUGCUUCAAGUGUCAAGGGUGGGGGCACAAGGCUAAUGAGUGCCCAAACCGAAGGAAUAUAAACCUAAGGGAGAGUAGAUUGUACUAUCUUGGAGAAGAGGUCGGCAUUGAAUUGGUUAAGAAUGAUGGCAAACCGCAAGAUGGAGAGCAAGAAGAAGCCGAAGUGCAAAAUGAGGAGUAUGGAGAAGAUGUGUGGCCGCAAGAAGGAGAUUGUGAAGUGCCUUUGUAAAAGAGGUGAGCCUGUGAAUUUGUAGUUAAAUUCCUCUCAAGAUGGAGAGGAUGAUACAAGUUUGAUCAUGAUGAUGACACUUUUGAGUAUUUUUGUAGACUAGUCACUAAAGGGCCCUUUUGUCAUUUUAUCUAUUAUUGUAAUAUAGUAUAAAUAGAACAUUGUAGGGUUUAUUUCUUUAGUUGCUUAAUGAUAUUGAGAGAACACUCCUCUUAGAGGGCGAGAGUCCUAAAAUCGUAACUAGGGCCAUAUACAAGUGUGGAAUCACUUGUAUGUUGCAUUGCUUGAUACAUUGGUGCUUGGGUGGUGGACGCCUCUCUUGUGUCAAUUGUAAGAGAUAGGUGAUUAUAGUGUGUAGUGUUAAGGGUCCAAGAGUGUCAUAUGUUCUUGGGUUCUUAAGAUUAUACCUCCAUUGGUCUAUCUUUCUAUCUUUAUUUUGUUGUAACCGUUGGUAGUGUUCUUGUUGUGUAACCUUGUAAUUGUUCUAUUGUUGAAAUCUUAUUGUGUUGUUCAUCUUCUUCUUGUUGUUAAAUUAGUUUGGGUUGGCUGUUUUGGUGUCAAAUACACCAUUAUAUCUUGUAUUCUUGUUGUUGGUAGUGAAUCCGAGAGUGGUCACCAAAGGGGUCCUCGGUUCUUCAAACUUGUGGACUGUUUUUGUGUAUGUUUCGUGUCUUCUUGGUCUCUCUUGUAUCAAAGAGGAAGAAAUGAAGUUAUUACAAAUAAUGAGGCGGGAUGCCCUUUAGGCUUCUCAAUACCUUAUAUAAAUGGUCCAGUACUAUCCAAACGAUGUGCUUCCUUUUUCAUCAAGUUUUCAAUCAUCAAAGGUGACUAUGGCUGCCAUAUUAAUAGAAAAAAUUAAACAAACAAAAAUGCAAAAUAGUCAUCAGAAUUCUGGAGUUAAGCGUGUUUGAACUAGAAUAGGAUGGGUGGCCCCUUGGCCCUUGGGUAUGUCGUCAUAGUUGUUGUUGUUGUACAUAUUACGAAAAAACUAAUGCAUUCUGAAUUUUCUUCCAAAUAAAUGAUUUAUUUUACAAUUUAUUUUUUAGCGUGACACAUAAUUAGGUUUUGUCAUAAAAGCGGAAUAUAAUUCUGUUACAUCCAUUGUGAGAGCCUAGCAGUUGUUCUUCCAAAUGUUCUGAGAUUGUUCUACAACGAUUUUCUCGAUUCAUCAAAUCAAAUCAAAGUACACUCAUUCAGAUUUUUUGAUUGAUUAUCUUGGUCAUUGAGCAUGGUGAACAAUCGAACUUCAAAAUAGAACCACCCAGCACCGUGAUGAAGAAACUGGAGAUGACGCGUUGAUGAUUUGGAAGACCAAUAAUAUCAACUGGAUCGGAUAGCGACACUAAGAAAAGUCAGGAUUCAACUUCCUUUUGGCACAACCCCUAUGCACAAGUCCAAACUUUUUUUUUCUUCAUAUAGUUAAAUUUACUUUGUAUUUUUCUAAUAAAUCAAGCUUUAUAAAAACACCAGACAAUGGAUGUCACGCUUCAUUGCUUGCAAUUCAACAAUUAGGAACAAUCUCUUACAAAGCAAGACUUGGUUGACUUGCAGUCUUGAACAAUGUCUUUGGAGUUUGGCCUGAUUAGAGGAAUAAACAUGCCACCACAAUUACGGUUUGCAAGACUUGGUUGAUUCCAGUUACAUAUUUUUGAUUGCUUGAAUGAGAAAAUGGAAGUGUCAUUUGAAUGAGAAUUGACAUGCCGUCUUGCAAAAGUAUUUGGAGUUUGGACCUAUUAAAGAAAUAAUUUUGUCACCAUUACUACGGUUGCAAGUUGGUCAAGUGUUCGAGGCCCACAUAAGUUAGGGAACCAAUUAACUGAAGAGCUAAAUGACAACAACCAAUAAAAAUUAAUGUUGUGAUCUUUUUAAUAAUAAAAAAUUAUUAAAACAUCUCUAAAACAAGUAAAAGUUAAUUACCGUCAAGGUUUGUGGUGGGAUGGAUCAUAUAAGUCCUCUUUUAAUUACAGGUCUCAGGUUCGCAUACUGGAUAUGAAAACCCCUUUAAUGGGCCUUGCAUGGCAUAAAUUCGGAUUAGUCUCGGUUCCAACCCCCACUGGACAAGUAUUGUAGAACAUCUAUUUUUUGUAUUGUGAACAAGUAAAGAUGUAUUGAGGGAGUAAAUGUUUUUAGAUAUAUCUGUAUACUUUUCAUCUGACAGUUGUAGAGAAAAUGAAAGCAAGACUUGCUUGAAUUGCAAAUGUCUAUGGAGUUUGGAUAAACUAGAGGAAUAAUUUGGUCCCCAUAAUUACAGGUGCAGGGCCUACGUAUCCUAAAAAUGAAAUAUAGAAAACCAAGUAACUGAAGAGUCGAAUGAUAGGUGAAUUUUCGCACUAUAUUAUAAUUCAAUUUAAAAGUAAAUCACUAUAUUAUAAUUCUUAUUGAAAAGUAAAUGAUACAAGGAGUAUGGCGUUUCAGAUUAUGCAAUAGACAUCAUAGGCCGACAAUGAUGAAAUAACAACAAUUAUGCCAUUUUGAAAACUUGUGGAGAAAAAUAAAAUGUCGAGAUAACAAGAGAAUCCUCCAUUUUAAACAAACUAAAAAACAAUUAAAAUAAAAGAGAUAGAAAAUGUCUAGAAAACACCGAUACUUAAGAAAAGUUCACAAAUAAAAUGUUUGAAAGCUAUUUUGGCUUAAAACAUUUAAAAUAAGACAAUCCAAACAUGCUCCACAUGUUGUGUACUUAUUUAGAAUUUAAAAAAAUGUAAAAGCAUCCCAAAAAUUAAAAGUAAAUAGUCCCGUCGAGAUAUUAAACUACGAUAAAAUAAUUUGCUUACUGCGUUAUCUUUGAUCGAGAAUGUAAAUAGUUUUUCAUAUAUAUAUGUGUGUGUGUAUGUGUGUGUAUAUAUAUAUAUAUAUAUCCUAAAAAAUAAGUGACUAGAAUCAAUUAUAGACUAUGUUAGUGUACAUAACUUUAGUAGAAGGCAACUUAAGGGAGUGUCUGGAUUGAUUAGAGCAAUAACUUUUCCACCAAAUGUACAUUUAUAAAAACUUGUGUAUUUUUGGUCUUCUCCAAUUUUAUCAAAUCUUUGAGGCCCACAGAACCUGAAAAAUUUUCUAAAAUAAUGGCAGCCAAUACAAAUUAAUGUUAUAUAUUCUUUUAAUAAAAAAAAAAUUCUCAAAAACAUACCCUCAAACAAGUAAAAAUUGCAAAUAAAUUACAAACCAUAAUUAAAAGCUCCAUUUAUACUACCAUCUCAUUUUAAAAUGAGCUAAAUUAACUUCUACAAAAAGUAACUAGAAUGUAAAAGUCUACAGAUUCUGUCCUCGAUAGAGAUAAAUGGAUUAUAAACAUGUUAUGAUCAGUUAUAUAAACUAUCGGGAAAAAGGUCCAAAAAAUAUAUCUAAAUUUUGACGAAAUUUACUGUAACACGCUUUAACUUUAUGGAGGUCCUAUGAUCCCCUAAAUAAUAUUUUACCGUAUUUCUGUAGAUAUAUAUGCUUAACUAGAUCACUUUAGACCCUUAUACGCGCGGUGUGUAUUCAUAUACAGUGGUCUAGAUAGCAAAUAUAUGCCACAGAAAUACGGUAAAAAAUAACUAGAGGGUGAUAGGGCCUCCGCAAAGUUAAGACGUGUUACAACGAAUUAAUUUUGAUAAAGCUUAGGUAUAUUUCGGACCUUUCUCCCUAAACUAUCUUAAUCAUGUAAAAAUAAUUCUGAAGAAAAUAAAGGGGGAAUUUAUGAACCAUAUUUACAAUUCUAAUUGAAACGGGCAAGACUUGGUGAAAUUAGAAUUGAUAUGACCAGUGGUGGAACCAUAUCUUCGUUGAAAAUAUACAUUAAGUAGCUAGGUAAAAAUAUAUUUUUUAAUGCAUAUAUUACAUAUUGACACUUCUUGACAUAUGUCUCUACCGUUAAUGUGAGGGACAUAUACGUAUCAUUUCAUUAACGGUAGCGGCAUAUGUGUACCUAAUGUGUGACGGAUGAUAUAUACGUACCAUUUAUCAUAGUACGAGGAUAUAUUUGUCCAUUUAGUAGAAUAUCUGACGCUUGUCGAUACCAAUCGGAUGUGGAUAAGACAAUCAAUCAGUGAUAAUAUCAAUAGUCGAGUUUGUCAUAACAUCAAUAAAGAGUACAUAAAUAUGCCUUCACAAAACAACAUAGCCAACAUAGCAGUAUGGCGUUACAUAUUAGCCAAGCAACUCACCAAAUAUCUCCAGAAGUAGACCCUCUUGACUCAAUCAAGCAUCAUUGUCCAGUCGUGCUUGUAAUGCAUGAGUGUGGAAAGCACGUCUUAUGUGACAUAAUACACAUCAAACGUAAUGUAGGAAAAGAAUUAGCCACAUAGAACUUUUGUAGAAGGCAACUUGGAGAGUGUUUGGACUGAUUAGAGGAAUAACUUUGCCACCAAAUGUACGUUUAUAAAGAGUUGAUGUAUUUUUGGUCUUCUCCAAUUUUGUCAAGUAUUUGAGGCCCACAUAACCAGAAAAAUUCUCUAAAAUGAUAGUAGCCAAUACAAAUUAGAGCCCGUUGGGAUAGGAUUAAAAAAAUAAUUUUUUUAGCUUAAGUGAUUAAAAACUUAAAAUAAGUGCAUAUAAAUUAAGUAUAUAAGUGUUUGGAUAGAAGUGUUGACACUGAAAAAAAGUUGUUGAUGUGUUUGGUAAACAAGUGAUGUUAAACACUUUUUUAUUGUCAAAAUAACUUAAAUGUCCUUAAAGUUGUUAACACCAUAAAUAACGUGAAUUAUUUAUAAUUUUUAAUUCUAAAAUAAAAUUUUUGAGCAAACUUCCGAUGUAAUGAUGAAUUUGCUAAAAACAAAGGAGAAAGAUAAGAGGAAAUUGAAGGAAAGAGACGAACAGAAGCGAAAAAAAAGGAGAAAAAUAAUAUAUUUAUGGGCUACAAGUUUAUGGUAUAUAUCAUUGGAAUUAGAGGAAAAUAUAAGGGACAAAAAGAUAAAUAUUUUUGUCAAACCUUAAAGAAUUUUAAUCUAAGAAGUAAAAAGGUAGGGGUGCCCUGCUUCACACUUUCUACUUUUUUUAAUUAGUUUUUCUUUGCACUUUUUAAUUUUAUCAUACACUUAAAAAUGCUAAAAAAGAGAUUAAAAGUUGUUUUGAUCAGAAUUUAAUCCUAUCCAAGUCGGCUCUUAAUGUUGUGUAUUCUUUUAUAAAAAAUAAAGUUCAUAAAAACAUACUCUAAAACAAGUCAAAAUUUCAAACAAAUUAUAAACUAUAAUUAAAAGUUCCUUUUAUUACCAUCCCAUCCCAUGUAAAAGUCUACGGGUUCUGUCCUAACCAGAGAUCAAAGGAUUAUAUUAUAAACAUAUAAAAUAUGCAAAUCAUGUAAACAUAUUCUCGAACAUAUAUUAUAAGUUAAUAAAUAAAAUUAACCUAUUAGAGGAAUAUGGCAUACCAUGUUUGCACCACACAAUUCAAAUCUAGAUAAAAUAAAGCAAGACUUGGUUGACUUGCACAAGUCUAUGGCUGAUUGAAACGUGCAAGACUUGUUGAAAUUAAAAUUGAUAUGACCAAUGGCGGAGUCACAUAUUCAUCUAAAAAAUACAUUGUGUAGGUAUGUAAAAAUAUUUUUUAUGUAUAUAUUACAUAACGAUACUCUUUGAUUUUUUUAUGAGUUUACUUUUUAUAUUUUGAAUUUUUUUGAUAAAAAUUUUAAUUCUGCCACUAAAUAUAACAGAAUGAAUGAGGAAAACAUGAGUUUACUUCUUUAUAUUUUGAAUUUUUUUGAUGAAAAUUUUAAUUCUGCCACUAAAUAUAACAGAAUGAAUGAGGAAAAGUAUUUUUUUUCAAAAUCAUGAAGACCAAAAGGGAGACUUCAUUGCUAUUUGAAGUCUCAAAAUCACAUGUUAUGGAGCCUACCUACAAAUUUAUGCAAUAAUGGAGAAAGUCUUCACAUUUUUUCUCUUAACACUCUUGUUGCUUCUGGCUAGUUCAGCCAUGACUCAAACCAACGUUACCACUGAUCAAUUAGCUCUUUCGUCCUUAAAAUCUCAAAUCAUUUCCGACCCCUCUAACUUCUUGGAUGAAAACUGGUCUCCCGCUGUUUCUGUUUGUCAUUGGGUUGGAGUCACUUGUGGUUCUCGUCACCAACGAGUGAAAUCUUUGAAUCUUUCUAACAUGGCUCUUACUGGCAAGAUUCCUCGUGAAUUUGGAAACCUCUCAUUUCUUGUUUCUCUUGACUUGGGAAGCAACAAUUUCCAUGGAAAUUUGCCUCAAGAAAUGGCACGCUUGCGUCGGCUUAAGUUUCUUGAUUUAAGUUUCAACAGCUUCAGUGGGGAGGUUCCUUCUUGGUUUGGGAUUUUACACCAACUUCAAGUUCUAAAUCUUAGGAAUAAUAGUUUCACUAGUUCCAUCCCUUCUUCAUUUUCUAAUAUAUCCACACUUGAGACUUUGAAUCUGAAUUUCAAUUCUGUAGAGGGUUAAAUCCCAAAAGUGAUUGGAAGUCUCAUAAACCUUAGAGAACUAAAGUUAAGGGGCAACAAGCUCAUAGGUUCCAUUCCUCUGUCACUCUCGAAUGCCUAGAGGUUGGAGACUUUAGAUAUAACUCUUAAUUCACUUCAAGGAAACAUCCCAGAAGGGAUCGGCAAUCUUCACAAUUUACAAGAUAAUCAACUUACGGGGUCUAUACCAUUCACAAUUUUCAAUAUUUCUAGGAUCAAAAUCAUUGCAUUUACCUACAAUAGCUUAUCCGGAAAUCUCCCCAAUAGUUUAUGCAAUGGUCUCCAAAUACUCCAAGAGCUUUAUCUAUCCGCAAACAAGCUUCAUGGUCAUAUGCCUACAAGCUUAUCAAAUUGUUCCCAACUUCAACUAUUGUCUUCAUCAGAAAAUGAGUUUGAUGGACCAAUACAUAGUAAAUUGGAAGAUUGAGUAACUUGCAGAUAUUAGAACUCUCAUAUAACCAUUUCACAGGUAUGUUUUUAUCUUCUGAAUUGCUUCAGAAUUUUAUUUAUUACACGGAUAAUUUCAGUUAUUGAAUUAAUUGAGGUAUCAAAUAUAUUUAUCAUCUAUACUUAAUUUUUUUCUUUUUUCUUUUAAUACUUUCGUAUCACCAACAAUAUAAAAUUCUAAAAUCUUAGUGGAUUCUACCAUGGGAGAUUGACAAUUUAAACAAGGCUCAAUUCUUAUAUCUUAGCAAAAAUAGAUAAAACCAACUAUUUAAACUCAUUAGUAAUCCACUAUAUGUGUUUCCAGGUGAAAUACCCAAAGAGAGAAGCAAUCUAGUUGAGUUGAAGAAACUUGUUCUUGGGAUUAAUAGUUUUAGUGGUUCACUUGAUAUGGAGAUCUUCAACAUAUCAGGGCUGAGAAUAAUUGAUCUUUCAGUCAACAAUCUAUCAGGAAGCCUCCCACCAAACAUGUGUUCUAUCUUACCCCACAUUGAAGUGCUUUAUCUGCACAACUUAACCAAUCUUGUUGGGACUAUUCCUCAUUCCAUCUCCAAUUGUUCAAAACUUAAUAAUCUAGAACUUUCAGAAAACAAACUCACUAGCUUGAUUCCCAACUCACUUGGAUAUUUGACUCAUCUACAGUUACUAAAUUUACCGGGAAACAAUUUCACCAGCGAUUCAGCAUUAAGCUUCCUGACUUCCUUAGCCAAUUGUAGAAAUUUAACAGUUCUUGAUAUAUCUUUUAACCCUCUAAAUGGCAUGUUAACAGCCUCCAUAGGGAACCUUUCUACAUCUCUUAGAAAAUUUAUCGCCAUCAGUUGUAAAAUCCAAGGGCGAAUUCAAAAUGAAGUUGGGAACUUAAGCAGCUUAUUAUUCCUUGAUCUUUCUGGAAACAAUUUGGCAACUUGAGAAACCUUCAGCGCUUCGACUUGAGUAACAACGAAUUAACAGGAUUUGUUGGAGAUCAUAUAUGUAAACUGCAGCGUUUUGGGGAAAUUUACUUGGGUCAAAAUCAACUUUCAGGAUCUCUUCCUAAUUGUUUAGGGAAUAUUACUUCCCUUAGGGAGAUACAUCUGGGUUCCAACAAAUUGAGUUCCAAUAUACUACCAAGCUUAGGGAACCUUCAAGAUCUAGUGGUUCUUGACUUAUCAUCAAACAACAUGGUAGGUUCUUUACCUCCAGAAAUUGGAAAUCUAAAGGCUGCGACACUGAUAGAUCUGUCAAUGAAUCAAUUUUAAAAAAGAAUUCCAAGAGAAAUUGGAGGAUUGCAGAGUUUGGCAAACCUUACUUUGAGACACAACAGGUUGCAAGGAGCUAUACCUGACUCAAUGAGCAACAUGGUAGGUUUGGAAUUCCUAGACCUUUCAUAUAACAAUAUAUCUGGAAUCAUUCCUAAGUCUUUGGAGAAACUUCAAAACUUGAAGUAUUUCAAUGUUUCUGUCAACAAAUUCUAUGGUGAAAUACCCUCGGGAGGUCCUUUCCAGAACCUCUCGAGUCAGUUUUUCAUCCACAAUGAAGCAUUGUGUGGUUCUUCAAGAUUUAGUGUCCCGCCAUGCCCCACUUCUUCAAAGCAUAGAUCUAGUAGGAAAAAAUUACUAGUUCUUUUUCUUUUGCUGGGAAUUGCACUAGUAGUUGUUCCUAGAACCUUUAUUUUUUUCUGGAUAAGGUAUAGAAAAGGUAAAAGAGCUCCUCAACAAGCUGAUUCAUUGUCUUCCAUAACAAGAGAAAGAAUUUCAUACUAUGAAUUGAUCCAAGCAACUGAUGCGCUUAGUGAGAGUAAUCUGAUUGGUUCUGGAAUUUUUGGCUCUGUUUACAAAGGUAUUCUCAGAAGUGGAACUGCCAUUGCAGUUAAAGUGUUCAACCUGCAACUGGAUGCGGCAUUCAAGAGUUUUGAUACUGAAUGUGAAGUUUUGUGCAGCCUUCGCCAUAGGAAUCUCGUUAAAGUCAAUACUAGUUGUUCCAAUCUUGAUUUCAAAGCUUUAGUGCUUGAGUAUAUGCCUAAUGGAAGUCUUGAGAAGUAUCUGUAUUCGUACAACUACUUCCUUGACACCAAGCAGAGACAAAGCAUAAUGAUAGAUGUGGCAUGUGCUUUGGAAUAUCUUCACCAUGGGUGCUCGUUGCCUGUGAUUCACUGUGAUGUGAAGCCUAGUAACGUCUUGCUGGAUGAAGAUAUGGCUGCCCGCCUCAGCGACUUUGGCAUCUCAAAACUGCUUGGUGAAGAUCAGGGUGAUUUGUACACUAAAAUCUUAGAAACAUUGGGGUAUAUUGCGCCAGGAACGUCUCUUAGUUUUGCUGAUUAUCCCUUUCUUUUUUUCCCACCUAGGAAGCAUAUUGCAUAUUUAAAUGUAUUGUUUUGACUGUAGAGUAUGGACUGGAUGGACUAGUGUCAACAAAGUGUGAUGUCUACAGUUAUGGGGUCAUGUUGCUGGAAACGCUUACUAGGAGAAAGCCUAAUGAGUUUGAGGGUGAUCUUAGCUUGAAGAAAUGGGUGAGUAAUUCACUCCCAGAGGCUGUAAUGGACGUCAUAGAUAUCAACUUGGUAACACCGACGGGUAAUCACUUGCAGAAGGAGCUAGAUGUUGUGGCUUCAAUCAUGAAUCUUGCAUUAGAUUGUUGUGCUGAAUCUCCGGCAAGAAGGACAAACAUGAAAGAUGUUGUCGGGAUGCUACAGAAAAUCAAGAUUCAACUUCUUGCAUGCUGAGCUUGUUCUCGGAAUCUCUUGUUUCAAAUCACUCUGUUUGUUGCAAAUGUUUGCUAAAUUGAUUGAUUCAUGUGAAGAUUGCUUCUAUUUUUUUUUUAAGCACUUGCCUUUUGCAUGAUUCUGUUUUCAGAAAUGCUAGUUGGUUGCAAUAAAUCUUUACUAUUUCCUCUUAACAUUAAUGUUACAAAAUGAUGGAACACAAUCAACAACAAAUAUAAGAACAACUUUUUAGAUAUAGAGAAUACUGACUAUUACUUUCAAGGAUUUUGUCCAGCGAUGGAAAUGCCAAUGAUGAAGGAGAGUACAGGAAGUAUCUUGUGGAGAUGGAAAUUCUGGAAAUAUACAAGAUAUUGUAAUGUGGCUAUUUUCAUGACAUUGUUAAGCAGAAUAGACAGAUUACGGAGGGCUGCCUUAGAGAAGCAAAUCGUCUGGGAAACCAUCUUUACUAAAUCAGCACUCAUGCACACACUUGUAACACCUGAGACAUUGUAGAAAACACAAAUAAUUUCCAGAAAUUCAUCGAGGCAAAACGUCUGAACAUUGUGUGGGCAAGAAAUCAUGUGGUCAGCUGCAUAUUCACUUCAAACGGAUUCUCCCCAAAUCUUUUGCUUUAUUAGUGUUGAUUUUUCCCCAGUGAAGUCUAAAAAAUAAAAGAAGCAGAAGUUGUCUAGAAAACAUGACACUUAAAGACAAGUUUACAAUUGGAUCAACGAACCGCUGGUAUUGUGCCCUUGAAAGGUGGACUUCAUACCUGAGUAAUGACCACAGAGGACUUUCUAUUUCCUCAAUACCUAGUAACUAGUUUAUGAAGUUAGUUUUAAGCACCUAAAAUUAAUUUUCGGACAUUUAAUUAGCCUAAAUGAACUAUAAAUGCAAUUAUAGGAAUAUAAUAACCAAAGGAUGAUGACUCUUGGAAAAAAAUAAGGGCUUCCAGUAGGUAUAAGUUUAGCAGAGGUCCUUCUUCAGUCAAAUUGUCAAGUCCCACCUUUCAUUAGAUGUAUUUAUCCACACCUUUCCCUUAUGACAUGUCAAUCCUUAUUCUGCACUUUCUCUCAUCGCCCUGAAACAUAUAUAAAUCAUGAAUUCUUCAGAGCAGGUAGGCCUACAAGGACUGCAGAAGAAGUGCCUCAGACAUUACUUUUACACAAUUAUGAACUCCACAGAAAUUUAUCAAUUUCUAUGUGUUGGAAUCCAUUCUCAUCAGUUAGUUAGUAACUAAUCAAAUAGCUGGUUGCAGUAAUAUACAUUCAGUUAGCUAGCAUAAUUAUGUUGGGCUGUGGAGCCUGAUUAAUAUGUGAUGUACUGUUAUAUAUUAAUGUUCACGCGGUUCAGUCUCCAAAUUUUAGGCUGUACUGUUCAUUCUCAUUUCUUCGUGUAACUGUACAUACUCUGAAUCAUUAAUAUAAAUAGCCCAUCCACCGGGGAUUUACCCACGGGGAGUUACCACGAAAUUUUUCUCUCUCUACUCACGAACUCUCUCUCUCUCAUGUUUCUCUUCAUCCUCUGUCACGACUUGAACCGGGGUCCUGGCCGUGACAAGCAUCCCGAACCAUGAAGGCCCGGACGUCCUUCUAUAUCUGGUAAUCAUGCACAAUAUUCAUAAAUUAUAAUAGAAGAUGCGGAAUUGUAAAUCAUUACGGAAACAUGGUCAUACCCUAAAUUUAAUUUAACAACGAGGAAUAAAACCAACAACAAUCUGAACUAGUUUGCAAAAUCUCUACUACAUGAUCAAAUAACAACUGUCUGAAAACUGGGACAAGGCCCCCAGUAGACCCAAAAUAAAAAGAAUAACAUAGUCUGAAAUAAACAGGCCUUCUGGAACAAAGAAGGCUCACCACUGUACGAAUCACUUCUAUCUGAAUACUUUACUGCUUAGCCGGACCCCUAGAUUGAGCCUCAGAACUUGGGAGGGUAGGGGGUCAAUACAAUUAUACUGGUACACAGAGAAAAUCCAAAAUAAUAAUUUGUAUUCAACAUAUAUGAGAGUAAUUUAAAUCAGAUCAUAAAUAUAUCAUAUGGUAAGAAAUUACAUGGGCAUAUUUAAAAGACUCUUUAAAAUCAUCUGAACUCGGAGAUACUCUUUAUUUACUUUUGUGCUAGGUGGUACACCCUACAAUUUCAUAGCUUUCACCGACUACCUUAUCUUGGUUGCCGCCAAGAUAGGAGUACUAGUGAGGGAAGAGCAUGCAAGAUCACACAGCAAGGUGCCACAACCCCAAUCAAGUCAUUAUGUCGUGGUUGGGCUCAAGAUCACAAAGUAGGGCUCCAAACCAACAGUCCCGAUUUGGGAUGACAAGAUACUAGGUGCACAAGAUCACAUAGCAGAAUGCCUCUUGUCCCGAUAAGAUCACAAACUUUAAUUCAUCAUAAGAGAGGGGUUUCAUAAUUUGUGCUCUCAAACAAUCUUCAAUUUCAUACAUAUACAUAUAGAUGUAAAUCAAUUUAAGGGGGAAAGGCCUAAAGGCCAAAUCAACAAUAUCAUUAAAACAUUCAUAAUGCAUAAUUAAAUCAUAGAUUCAAAAACCCCUUUAAAGAUUCAUGCUCGAUAAACUUUAAAUCAUAUUUGAGUGAUUCAACAAGCCCAUGUAGUUUUUAGGAUAAAACCUACGUACCUUAAUUUAUGACUCUUGAAAAAACUCGUGCUUUAGGGAUGCUAUUCAAACAAUUGAUGGGUGCUUCUUGUAGCCCUCGCAAUGGGGAUUCCGAAUCUCGAAGAAUUAUUAAAAAUCCACGGUGAAAUCUUAAGAUAUUUUGAUCUUUCGGUUGAAACCCUAAGAAGUGUUCUUGGUGAUUUUGAGAGAGAAUGAUCUUAUUUUAGAAUUUGGUGGAUUUAAUCUCUUGUUAUGGCUGAAUAGGGGAUGAAAAAUACCACUUUUAUCCUUAAAAAUGUGAAAACAAAACCUGAAAAUUGGACAGAGCAUGUGUCGCACGCUAAUCGAGCGAUGCUACUAUCUCAGUCGCGAAAAUGGCCAUAACUUUUCGCUCGGGUAUUGGAUUUUGGCAAAUUGGUAUCGUUUGAAAGCUAAUUCGAAGUGAUUUUAUUUGAUAUAUAGUAGGCACUCUAAUUCAUUAUAUACAAAGAGUUAUGCUCGAUUGAAGUUGACCCAAGUUUGGACGCUCACUCAAACUCGAACGAUAGGAAAGCUUUCAACUUGUCCUUGAGUUAGGGGACCUCUAUGAUCUCAAUUCAUUCUCAAAUAGGUUCCCACACUUCAUAAUUGAUUUACAUGCCAAAUUUACAUAGGAUUUAUGGAUUUUGGAUCAUCUACGCAUAGAAAUAACAGUUUUUAUUCUAGCUUAAAAUGCGGGGUGUUACACCCUCUCCAUCAGAUCUAGAGUGUGUGAAAGAAAAUCUAUCCUAGCAACAUUGAGGAGGAGUUGAAGAUCAAGGAUUGGUAGGCUCUAGGACUGAUCUGGUUAACUUUGUCGAGAAACAUGGCAUUCAACAUCGUCAAUGAGAAGACCAAGUCAGAUCUGUUCAAGGCACUAUCAAAUAUGUACGAAAAACCAUCUGUGAUGAACAAGGUAUAUUUGAUGCGUAGAUUUUUCAAUUUACAGAUGUCUGAGAAUGGAUCAGUUGCUGAUCAUAUAAAUGAGCUCAAUAUGAUUAUUAGUCAACUGUGUUCUGUGGAUAUUAAUUUUGAAGAAGAAAUUAAAGCAUUGAUUUUGAUGCCAUCUCUGCCCGAGUCUUGGGAUACCAUUGUUGCUGCGAUUAGUUGUUCCCAUGGAUCUGAGAAACUGAAGUUUGAUAAAAUUUGAGAUGUUGUUCUUACAGAAAGCAUUUGCAAACGAAAAAUUGGGGAGUCAUCUGGUAGUGCUCUCAGCGUUGAUCGAAGGGGGAGAGACCAAUAAAAGGGUCAAAAUAGACAUGGCAGAUCAAAAUUGAAGAAUCAUGGAAAACCUCUAAAACCUAACGUGACAUACUGGAAUUGUGGUGAGAAAGGACAUUUUCGGAAAGAUUACAAGAAACCCAAGAAGAAGAAGAAUCAGAAAUUGGAGAUGAUAAUAAUUCUGUUAAUUCAGCAGAAGACAUUGAGGAUGCUCUAAUCCUUUGUGUGUAUAGCCCGGUUGAAUCUUGGAUAUUGGAUUCUAGUGCAUAUUUUCAUUCAUCUCCAAGAAAGGAAUUGUUUUAAAAUUUCAAGUCUGAAAAUCUAGAAAGGUGUAUCUUGCUGACAACAAGUCAUUGGCGAUUAAAGGAAAGAGGGAUGUCUGUAUACAAACUCUAGUAGGAAAUCAGUGGACAUUGGAGAAUGUUAGAUAUGUUCUUGGUCUCAAGAAGAAUCUGAUCUCUGUUAGUCAGUUGGAUAGCACAGGCUACACAACAGAGUUUGAGAAAGGUUCGUGGAAGAUUGUGAAGGGUGCUAUGGUUGUAUCAUGUGGUACAAAAUAUGGAACUUUGUACACAACUGCCGGGUGUAUAAAUAUGGUUUCUGUUGCUGAGGGUGAUUUCGGUUUAUGUCUGUGGCAUAAUAGACUUAGACACAUGAGUGCCAAGGAAACGAAGAUGCUGGCUGCAAAAGAAGCUUUAGAGGGGUUGGAAUCUGUUGGUAUGGGCCUUUGUGAGAGCUGUGUUAUGGGUAAAGAGAAACGAGUAAGCUUCACGAAGACUGCGAGAGAUCCAAAAAAAGUACGAUUAGAAAUGGUCCAUACUGAUGUAUGGGGAUCAUCUCCUGUUUAAUCACUUGGCGGAUCCAGAUUCUAUGUCACCUUCAUUGAUGAUUUCUACAGGAAGGUAUGGGUUUACUUCUUGAAACAUUAGUUAGAUAUGUUUUCUACUUUCAAGAGGUGGAAAGCUGAAUUUGAAAAUUAGACAAGUUUGAAAAUCAAAUACCUAAGGUCUGACAAUGGAGGAGAAUAUGACAAGUCAGAAUUCAAACAAUUUUGUCCAGCUAAGGGAAUUAGAUUUAUGAGAACAGUUCUCGAGAAGGAAAGGCAGAAUGGAGUUACUAAAAGGAUGAACAGAACAUUAAAUAAGCAUGCAAAGAGCAUGAGAAUACACUGUGGGCUGCCUAAAAUAUUUUGGGCAGAUGCUAUGAGCACAGCUGCAUACUUGAUCAACAGGUCAAGAUUCCGGAGGAAGUAUGGACAGGAAAAGAACUCAAGUAUUCUCACAUGAGAACUUGUGGUUGCACUGCCUAUGUUCAUGUUAAUCCAAAGAAGAGAGAUAAGCUUGAUGCUAAAGCUAGAAAGUGCUACUUUUGUAGGUUAUGGUUCUGACAUAUUUGGGUACAGUUUUUGGGAUGACAAGAAUAAGAAGAUCCUAAGACAUUAUGAUGUGACAUUUGAUAAAAUAUCCUGUACAAGGACAGAGAGCAAAAGGUUCAAGAGACUACAAAGUAAAUGGGAGUUGAGCUUGAGUGGCCAAAGAGUACACACAAUGAUAUUACAGAAGAAACUCAACAAGCUCCAUAGAUUGUCGUUGAAGAAUCAUAGGUGGAGCAAGUGACACCUGAGUAGGUUUGGAGGGGAUCAUCCAAAACCAUUAGAGCACUAGAUAGGUAUUCACCGUCAUUACAUUAUCUGUUGCUGACUGAUGAAGGGGAACUAGAGUCUGUUACUGAAGCCCUACAGGUGGAGGAUUCAAUAAAGUAGGAGCAAGCCAUGGAUGAUGAAAUGAUCUCACUUGAGAAGAAUAACACAUGGAUAUUGACUGAGUUACCGGUAGGAAAGAGAGACUUAUUGAACAAGUGGGUGUUCAGAAUCAAGGCAGAACCAAAUGGCAAAAAAAGUUCAAGGCUCGGUUAGUAGUUAAAGGAUAUUCACAAAGGAAAGGUAUUGAUUUUGCUGAAAUAUUUUUUUCUAUUGUGAAAUUAACUACUAUCCGAAUUUUAUUGAGUAUUAUUGCAUCGAAGAAUCUGCAUCUUGAGCAAAUGGAUGUAAAUCUAUAUGCAGCAACCAGAGGGGUUUGUAGUUCCAGGCAAGGAACACAUGGUGUGAAAUCUCAACAGGAGCUUGUAUGGGAUGAAGCAAGCACCUCGACAAUGGUACAAGAAGUUCGACUCCUUUAUGAGCAAGAGUGGCUUCCAUAGGAGUGAAAAAGAUCAGUGUUGCUACUUCAAGAAAUACACUGAUUCGUAUGUAUUUUUACUCUUGUAUAUGGAUGAUAUGUUGAUUGUAGGAUCCGGUGUGAAGGAUAUAAACUCUCUGAAGGCAAGUCUGUCUUUUGAGUUUGAGAUAAAAGAUUUAGGUGCAGAAAAGCAGAUUCUUGGGAUGAGGAUUUCUCGGGAUAGAUCUUCUAGCACUUUGAAUCUAUCCCAAGAGCAGUACGUUGAGAAGGUGCUGGACAAAUUCAGAGUUAAUGAUGCUAAACCCAAGACUACUCAAUGGCAAAUCGCAUAAAAUUGUCAAAGGAGCAGUCACCGAAGACAGUUUAGGAGCGGGAGAACAUGACACUUGUUUCAUAUGCUUCUACAGUUGGGAGUCUGAUGUAUGCUAUAAUCUGCACUAGACCUGACAUAGCACAUGCAGUGGGAGUUGUUAGCAGCUACAUGGCAAAACCCGAGAAAGAGCACUAGGAAGAUGUGAAGUGGCUUCUAAGAUAUCUGAGAGGUACAUCCAGUACUUCACUUUGUUUUGGCAAUAGAAAGGUGAUUUUGCAAGGUUUUGUUGAUUCUGAUCUUGGUGGGGACAUGGAAUCGAUCAAGAGAACUUCCAGAUAUAUUUACACCGGAGGUGGUACAAUAAUAAGUUAGAUGUCCAAGCUUCAGAAGUGCAUUGCUCUUUCAUCUACUGAGGCUGAGUAUGUGGCAAUAGCUGAAGCUGAAAAAGAGAUGAUAUAGCUGGCAAAUUAUCUAGAAGAACUGGGAAAGAAGAAGUGUGAGAAAAUUCUUUACACAGAUAGCCAGAGUUCCAUAUAGUUGGUGAUGAACCCGGUCUAUCAUUCGAAGACGAAGCACAUUAGAAGACAGUACAAUUUCACUCGCAGGGCAUUGGAAAAAGGUGAUAUGUGUUUGGAAAAGACAGAGGGUCCAAAGAAUCCAGUAGACAUGUUGACAAAAUAUGUUGAUCUUGGUAAACUAAGGUUGUGCAAAACCUAAUUUGGUCUUCUAUCGUUGUGUCUACAGAUGUUGCGGUGUGGUGAAGAUAUUGAUGAUGAAGGAAUAUUUUUUUGAGAAUGUAAUUCUUGGAUGACAGAAUCAGUCUCCAAGUGUGAUAAUUAUUGGGUUGUGGAGCUUUAUUAAUAUGUGAUGUACCGUUAUAUAUUAAUGUUCACGCGGUUUAGUUUCCAAAUUUUAGGCUGUACUGUUCAUUCUCAUUUCUCUGUAUAAUUGUACAUACUCUAAAUCAUUAAUAUAAAUAGCCCAUCCGCCGUGGAGUUUACCCAUGGGGUGUUACCAUAAAAUUUCUCUCUCUCUCUCUACUCAUAAAAUUUUUCUCUCAUCUUUAUCUUCAUCCUCUCCAUCAGAUCUAGAGUGUGUGAAAGCAAAUCGAUCCUAACAUGUUACUGUUACAUUGAAUUUUUUGUGUAUCCUUAAGAGAGUUAGUUAGUUUGUUAGUCGGAUGGUGAGCUGACAGUGGGCUAAGUUGUAAUUAUGGUGAUUAACUGAGAAUCUUCUAGAUGAUGCUAGAAAAUAUACCCUUAUCUAUAUGUAAAUGCUCAGGGGAAAUAAUACAAACACAUGAUAGUUACAGAAAUAGCUCCUCUUCCUUCUUUCUUCUUCUCUGAACAAUAUAGCUUGUUUUGUUUGUCCUUUUAUUCGAUAAUUAGUGAAAUCUUCACAUAGUAUCAGAGCAAGUUUGAUCACAGAAGAUAGAAGGAGAAAUCCAUGGAGGUUUAGAUCUCUUCUAUGAUGAAAUUUUCAAUCUGUAUUCUCAACUUAGUUCUGAAACAAUAUAGCUUGUUUUGUUUGUCCUUUUAUUCGAUAAUUAGUGAAAUCUUCACACAGUAUCAGAGCAAGUUUGAUCACAGAAGAUAGAAGGAGAAAUCCAUGGAGGUUUAGAUCUCUUCUAUGAUGAAAUUUUCAAUCUGUAUUCUCAACUUAGUUCUGAAUUGCUGCUACGGUGAAAUUCUCAAUUUGUUCUCAACUUAGUUCUGAAUUUAUUUUCUUAGCUGGAUUCUGAGUUUAAAAUUCCCAACUUUCUUUCUAUUGUAAGUAAGUGCAAUUGAUUGUUAUCAGAUCUAGAUCCAUAUAUCUAGAAAAUUGAUUUAUAGGAGCUUAGAAAUGGCACCAAAAAUAGAUGUCAUGACCCGAGCUAGGGCCUUAGCCGUGAUGGGCAUUCCGAACAGUGGAGGCCCGAGCGCCCUUCUCUAUCUGGCAACCAUACCCACUUUCAUAUAGUAUGAAGAAAAAUAUAAAAAUAUAAAACAAUACGGGAUCAUGGUCAGCUUUUAACUCAAACUACACAAUACUGAAAUGAGUUCAUAACGAUCAACAACAUCUAACACUAGUGCAAAAUCUCAAAAAACUGAAGGACAUCUGUCAGACAUAUGGGACAAGGACCUCAGUCGAACCAUGAAUCAAAAUAAAAUAACAAUAACAAGUUCUAAUACAGGGGGAAUAAAACUUAAUAGGACCCUGGGACUGUGUCUCAGAUCCUGAAAUAUAGGGGGUCAAUAUAGAUGUACUGGUACGUAGAGCAAUCCAAAAUAAUGUACUUUUACAUAUAACAUAAGUGAGAGAAUUUCAUAAAACGUUAUGCAUAAAAUAAUUUAAGAUACAUGGACAGUUUCAAAUGAUCAUUUAAACAAUUCUGUAGAUGCAAAAUCAUUCUUUAUUUUACUUCUGAGCUAGGUCGUACACCCUACAGGUCUAACAGUCCACGGGCUAUAUGGAAUCUGCCUUUAACUCGAAAGCCAAGCCCCCAACCCAAGUUUGCUGCAAGGGUUGUAGUUUCUGUUUUGAUACGCCACAGGGCACUAGGCUAGCGUGUAAUUCCUCGUUGGGAACAUAACAACUCGUAUUGGCAAAACACAAUUUCGGGCAAUGAGUUCUCUAAAAUUGUGGAUUCUUCGAGUAACUAGCUAACUCUCUUUAAGCCUAAUUUUAUCAUUUUCUAAACAUGUAUUAUUCUAAGUUCAAAAUCUGAAAAUCUAAAAGAAAAUCAGCAUUCUGUUCUGUUCUGUUCUGUGUUACUAUGGCAUUAUCUGAAUUGGUAUCAUCAUACCAGGACUUGCAAGUCAUAUUUUUGAGCCAUAAAAUAUCAUAGUACAAUCUCUUCUUUCAAAAUAUAAAGUUUGGAUCACUAUACUUCAAACAAUUCAACAAGAUUCAUACUUUCAAAGCAUUUGUCAAAUUAUAUGAAGAUCAACUGUUUUCAGCAUUUCAACAAACAUGUGGUGGUCAUGAAAUUUGUGACAAAACAUGAAAUCUUCUUAGUAAACAUCCUUAACCUUUAACACCAAGUAAAACACCCUCUCUUCAAUUCAAAUCCAUAAUCCAAUCAUAAACAAAAAUCAAGACAUUUGUAUCAUGCUUCCAACAAUGCAUUUUAAAUAAAUCAUAACUUACAAAAAUAAGAAGCUUUUAAACAAGAGAGGGAUAUCUAGUAGUCCAUGCUCUCAAUUCAUCAUUUUAACUUAUCAAACACAUACAUAUAUAUAUACUUAUACAUGGUAAUAAAUUAAAUUUGGGGGAAAGGCCUCAAGACCAAAAUAAUAAUAUCAUUAAAUAAUUCAUAAUGUAAGAUUGUAAACAUAAUUCCAAAACCCCUUUUAUAAAUUCAUGAUUUCUGAAACUUUAAACCUUAUUCAAAGUGUUUUCAACAAGCCCAUGUUGUUUAGAAAAACUCCACAUACCUUAUAUUACUUAGAUUAGAGAGUAGAACACGGAUCUUGAUUUGUUUCUUGGAAAUCUUGGACUUAAGAGUUUGAUUCUUGAUCUCGAAGGAACCUUAGUUUCCAUCUUGUUCUUGACAGAGGAUUGAGAUGUUGAAAACUGAUAAAAUAUGGAUUAUGAUGCUUAGGGUAUGGUAGAAUUUAUUUGGAGAGGUUUCUAGGAAGGGAAAGUACCAAAAUACCCCGCUAAAAACAAACUUUUUACAUGUUUCAGCCUCAACUGGCACCUCUCAGUCAAAUGGGCAUAACUUUCUACUCCAAUAUCGAAUUAAUGCGAAACCAGUGGUGUUAGAAAGAUGACUCAAACACCUUUCAUUUGAUAUAUAUUAGGCCCUUUAACUUAUUAUAUACAAGAAGUUAUGAUCGACAAAACUUGACCCAAGUUUAGACAUUCACUAAAACUUAAGCAAUAAGAAAGUUUUCAACUUGUCUUUGAGCUAGGGGAUUUUUUUUGACCUCAAUUCACAUUCAAAGGUAUUCACAACCUAUAGGAUAGAUCAAAAGGAACACUUUUUGAUGCCCUAGAAUGGCUUUGCGUCGCAUGGGCAACAAAUACCUUAGGUUUUUCAUCGCAUGGCCAUAGCAUAGCUGAGGCAGUGUGCUUUGGAGAUUGGUGUGCAGCACAUGGCCAUCUCAUACCCUAGACAGUGCCUCAUUCAAACACUCAUAACUUUUGACUUUGGACUCGGAUUAAUGAACGGUCGGAGGCGUUGGAAAGAAGACUCGAAGGACUUUAAUUUGAUAUAUAGUAGGUCACAUAAAUCUUCAUAUUCAAGGAGAAAUGGUCGCUGGAAGUUGACCUAUGCCAAAUCAUCAACUAAAAUUCAAUCGAUUAGAAAGUGCUCAACUUAACUUUUGAGCUAGGUGAUUUUUAUGGUGUAUAUUCAUAUCCAAGGAUGUUCCCACACUAAGGAAGUAUUAUUCACACUUAUAUAUAAGUAGAAACCAUUGGGUUCGGGUCUAUAAACAUAGGAAAGAUGGUUCAACUUUAGCACGAAAGUGUGGGGUGUUACAUAGGAGUUAUAGCGCGUCGUUUGUAUCUGAAAACAAAAGAUGAAUACCAAAAUAACAAAAUAGCAUUGGUUCCUACUUUUGUUAGCUACUUGUUAUAUAUGUUGUAAUUGUUACAUUAACUAGCUUAACAUGUCAUUAUCUCAACGAAAACAACUUAAUUGGAUCUAUCGAUUCCCACAUCAGUUGGCAACUUAAGAGACCUUUAGGGCUUGCACAUAAGUAAUAACAAACUUUGCCGGGGGUUUACUCUGAGAAAUCCUUUAAAAUCACGGGUUCAAACCUAAUAGUUGUUGAUAUUUUAGUUGCUUUUUCCAUAUAUAUCUAUACUCCGUAUCAAAAGAUAUAAAUCUCUGUGAACCCGUAGCGGACACUAGUUAAAUUUUGGUUUGCCAAAACUAAAUCCCUAUUCAUUAUGAUAUUGUAAUCAGCACUGUUUAAGCUGUUAACUCAAAUUAUGAAUUUCACCUGUAUCUACUGGAGUUAAACAAUGAAUAUAAUAAAGAAAAUCUAUUCAAUUCAAUCUUGCUCCUCCAAUUAGCAUCUUACAUUUGGUAUAAAACUUAGUGGAAGACUCCUUUUUGAGUCUUCUUUCUUGGUGUGCCACUUGAACCAAUUAAAGUUACUUUUUUCGUUUCUUUAGUUGUAUUAUUAUUCAUGGAGUCGUCUCAUCUCCAGUAGGGCAUCUCUCCAGUUGGUCCAGUGAACCAUUUAUUUUGUGACACUUGUCCUUUUUCAAAUCUAAGGGCCAAUAUUUAUUUCACUAAAACAACACUACAAACCAUGGUUAAACUCUUUAGACGAAAAUCUUGCUUAAAAAAUCGGGAAUCCGAAAGAAUUGUUCGAAACAAUCUAGUCGAAUUAGUGAACUUCAUAAUUCUCGUAACAUUCCUAACCAAAGGCUCUGUUGCUAUCACAUACUAAAAUUAGUGAACAUAAAUUUUAUAAGAUUAACCUAUAAAUAAACUUUACGGUGAUCAAGGUGUAACCUUUAUUGAAGUUUCUACUUGUGCAUGAAGUAUCUCAACUUCUCACUAAUUUUAAUAUCCAUUUUUUCACUUACAUUUUCAAACAACCCAAUUGAAGUAUUUUAUCAAACAUUUCUAGACAUUUAUUCACAUUGGCUAUUUCACUUCAAGAAUCUGAAGCAACUAAGGUAUUUGGUCUUACAGUAGCAAAAUUAGUGCAAAAAUGAAGAAAAACUUGUAUUGAUAUUGUCAAUUUACUCUCUGGAGAAACUUUUGCUCCUCAAUUGAUAUUCUGUUUUCUUGGGAUCUUUGAUAGUUGAAUGAUCACAAAGAUGAUCUAAUCUUCUGUUCUUGUUGAUAAUUGCUGCGUUCCUUGAGGAUUUUCGUGGUAAGAAAAUUAAUCUUUUUCUGACCAGGUUUUUUAAAAGCAACUUUUUCAAAUUCCAGAUUUGUUUAGAAAGAUUUCGCCUAACUCACUGGUGGCAUUAUGGAAUGGAUUAAAUCAGUAAAUUAAGGGAGUUAACCACGGUUUGGAAUGCUGCUUUAGGGAAAUAAAUGUUGGCCUUUAGAUUUAAAAAAGGACCAACUGGACCAAAAUAAAUAGUACACUGGACCAACUGGAGAGAUGCUCCACUGGAGAUGAGCCGGGUCUGUUAGUCUUUAGAUGACUUAAUUAAUGAAUAAAAGAAAGCUAUUCCUUUUUUCCUAAAAAUAUGUGUGAAUGGAAAAUUCUCAUAAAAGAGAUUUUUAUAUAUUUUAAAGUCAGAAAGAGCAAGAUACCUCUUUGCUAUUUAAAGUCUCAAAACUACAUCAUUACUAUCCACAUCCAUAUUCCUACCAAUAUAUGCAAUUAUGGAGAAAGCUUUCAUCUCUUUUCUCUUGCUGCUUCAGUACUAUGUUAUAAGUAGUUCAGCCAUGACCCAACUUAACAUCUCCACUGAUCAAUUAGCUCUCCUUUCCCUGAAAUCUCAAGUCAUUUCGGAUCCCUUUCACUACUUGGAUGAAAGUUGGUCUCCAGUUACGUCUAUUUGUCAUUGGGUUGGAGUCACAUGUGGCUCCCGCCACCAGCGAGUAAAGUCCUUGAAUCUUUCAAACAUGGCUCUUACAGGCAUAAUACCCCGUGAACUAGGGAACCUCACUUUUCUUGUUUCUCUUGACUUGGGAAGCAACAAUUUCCAUGGAAAUUUGCCUCAAGAAAUGACACACUUGCAUCGGCUUAAGUUUCUUGGUUUAAGUUUCAACAGCUUCAGUGGGGAGGUUCCCUCUUGGUUUGGGCUUUUACACCAACUUCAAGUACUAAAUCUUGGAAAUAAUAGUUUCACUGGUUCCAUCCCUUCUUCAUUUUCUAAUAUUUCCACACUUGAGACUUUGAAUCUGAAUUUCAAUUCUAUAGAUGGUCAAAUCCCAAAAGUUAUUGGAAGUCUUAUAAACCUUAGAGUAUUAAAGUUGGGGGGUAACAAGCUCAUAGGCUUUAUUCCUACGUCACUCUUGAAUGCCUCAAGGUUGGAGAGGUUAGAAUUAUCUUCUAAUUCACUUCAAGGAAACAUUCCAGAAGGGAUCGGCAAUCUUCACAACUUGAACUGGUUGGCCAUACAGUAUAAUCAACUUACGGGUUCUAUACCAUUCACAAUUUUCAAUAUUUCUAGGAUCGAAGUAAUUUCAUUUACAGGCAAUAGCUUAUCAGGAAGUCUCCCCAAUGUUUUAUGCCAUGGUCUCCCAAUACUCAAAGGGCUUUAUCUAUCCGACAACAAGCUUCAUGGUCAUAUGCCGACAAGCUUGUCAAAUUGUUCACAACUUCAAGUAUUGUCUUUAUCAAAAAAUGUGUUUGAUGGACCAAUACAUAGUGAAAUUGGAAGAUUGAGUAACUUGCAGCAAUUGUAUCUCGGAACUAACCAUUUCACAGGUAUGUUUUAUCUUAUGAAUGCUUGUAUCAAUUUAUUGAAUUAAUUGAGGUAUCUAAGUUUGGGGGUAUUAAUGGUUCUGUUGAAAUAUAUUUUUCUAUGCGUAGUUUUUUCCUUUUUCCUUUUAAUACUUUCGUAUUACCAACAAUAUAAAAAUUAAAAUCUAAGUGGAAUCUACCACGGGAGAUUGACAAUUUAAACAAGAUGCAAUUCUUAUAUCUUAGCAAAAAUAGAUUGAACCAACUAUUUAAUUUCACUACUAAUCCACUAUAUGUGUUUCCAGGUGAAAUACCCAAAGAGAUAAGCAAUCUCAUUGAGUUGGAGCUACUUGAUCUUUCUCUUAAUAGUUUUAGUGGUUCACUCCCAAGGAUCUUUCUCUUGAUCUUCAAUAUAUCAGGGUUGAGAGAGAUUGCACUAACUAACAAUAAUCUAUCAGGAAGCCUCCCACAAAACAUGUGUUCUAUCUUACCCAACAUUGAAGAGCUUUAUCUGGGCAAUAUAACUAAUCUUGUUGGAACUAUUCCUCAUUCAAUCUCCAAUUGUUCAAAACUUACUCUUCUUGACCUUGCCGGCAACAAACUCACUGGAUUGAUUCCCAGUUCUCUUGGAUAUUUGACUCAUUUGCAGUACCUAAACUUGGAGAGAAACAAUUUAACAAGUGAUUCAUUGUUAAGCUUCUUGACUUCCUUAACUAAUUGUAGAAAUUUAACACUUCUUACUCUAUCAUUCAACCCUCUAAAUGGCAUGCUUCCAGCCUCCACGGGGAACCUUUCCACCUCUCUAAGAAAAUUUUACGCCUACAAUUGCAAAAUCAAAGGGCAAAUUCCAAAUGAAGUUGGGAACUUAAGCAGCUUAUUAGACCUUGUACUUUAUGGAAAUAACUUGGCCGGAUCGGUUCCAACAUCAAUUGGCAACUUGAGAAACCUUCAGCGCUUCAACUUGAAUAACAACAAACUUACAGGAUUUAUUGGUGAUCAUAUAUGUAAAUUGCAGCAUUUGGGUGGUAUUUACUUGGGUCAAAAUCAUCUCUCUGGAUCUCUUCCUAAUUGUUUAGGGAAUAUUACUUCCCUUAGGGAGAUACAUCUGGGUUCCAACAAAUUGAGUUCCAAUAUACCACCAAGCUUAGGGAACCUUCAAGAUCUAGUGUCUCUCGACUUAUCGUCAAACAACAUGGUUGGUUCUUUACCUCCAGAAAUUGGAAAUCUAAAGGCUGCGACACUGAUAGAUCUAUCAAUGAAUCAAUUUUCAAAUCGAAUUCCAAGAGAAAUUGGUGGGUUGCAAAAUCUGGCACACCUUUCUUUGAGACGCAACAAGUUGCAAGGAUCUAUACCGGACUCAGUGAGCAACAUGGUAGGUUUGGAAUUCCUAGACCUUUCUCAUAAUAACAUAUCAGGAACCAUUCCCAAGUCUUUGGAGAAACUUCAAAACCUGAAGUAUUUCAAUGUUUCUGUCAAUAAAUUGUAUGGUGAAAUACCCUCAGGGGGUCCUUUCAAGAACCUCUCGAGUCUGUUUUUCACCGACAAUGAAGCAUUGUGUGGUUCUUCAAUAUUUAGUGUCCCAUCUUGCCCAACUUCAUCAAAGCACCAAUCAAACUGGAAAAAAUUGCUAGUUCUAUAUCUUUUUCUAGGACUUGCAAUUUUAUUUGUUCCUAUCACAUUUGUGUUUGUAUGGAUAAGGUAUAGGCGAGGUAAAAGAGCUCCUCAACAAGCUGAUCCAUUGUCGACAAAGAAACGAGAAAGAAUUUCAUACUAUGAACUGCUCCAGGCAACGGAUGAUCUUAGUGAGAGUAAUCUGAUUGGUUCUGGAAGUUUUGGCUCUGUUUACAAAGGCAUUGUCAAAAGUGGAACUGUCGUUGCAGUUAAAGUGUUCAAUCUGCAACUGGAUGCGGUAUUCAAGAGUUUUGAUACGGAAUGUGAAGUUUUGCGUAGCCUUCGCCAUAGGAAUCUCGUAAAAGUCAUUACUAGUUGUUCCAAUCUUGAUUUCAAGGCUUUAGUUCUCGAGUAUAUGCCUAAUGGGAG